GGGUGCGAUCAUACCAGCACUAAUUCACUGGAUCCCAUCAGAACUCCGCAAUCAAGCGUGCUUAGGCGAGAGUAGUACUAGGAUUGGUGACCUCCUCGGAAGUCCUCGUGUUGCACCCU
Ribosomal RNA from Macleaya cordata, 119 nucleotides. The record is from Rfam. NCBI's taxonomy places the organism in Eukaryota, Viridiplantae, Streptophyta, Magnoliopsida, Ranunculales, Papaveraceae.